GCCCUGGUAGUUCAACGGAUAGAACAUCGGUCUUCGGAACCGCCAGUGGGGGUUCGAUUCCCUCCCGGGGCA
Molecule: transfer RNA, 72 nt
Filed under: Leptospiraceae bacterium
Lineage: Bacteria; Pseudomonadati; Spirochaetota; Leptospiria; Leptospirales; Leptospiraceae
Description: tRNA-Arg
Rfam family: tRNA
About the family: Transfer RNA (tRNA) molecules are approximately 80 nucleotides in length.
Source: RNAcentral